AACUAAUUUUUAGGUAGAGAAUUUAACGAAACAUUGGUAAUUCGGGGUAAUUUGGAGGUGUGCCCUAGUUACAAAAUACUUGUAAAUAUUGUAUGGAACAACAAACAAAUUACCUGUUUCCAUAAAGUGUUGGAUGAUAAUCGAGCAUCCCUAAUUAUAAGGCUGUAUCCCUUAUGAUAGGGGUAUUUUCACCAUGCGUAUCCCUCUAUUUACAGCAAUUUAAUAUUAUUUGUAUUUAUUAUUAUUUUAUUUUAUUUUCUAGUAAUAAUAAACGAAUAAAAUUAUCAGAA
Diabrotica virgifera virgifera (western corn rootworm) is the source of this 290-nucleotide long non-coding RNA. RefSeq lists it as uncharacterized. The record is from RefSeq and is a predicted model, not a curated record. The transcript is spliced from 2 exons. NCBI's taxonomy places the organism in Eukaryota, Metazoa, Arthropoda, Insecta, Coleoptera, Chrysomelidae.